Molecule: ribosomal RNA, 481 nt
Filed under: uncultured bacterium
Lineage: Bacteria
Description: bacterial SSU rRNA
Rfam family: Bacterial small subunit ribosomal RNA
Source: RNAcentral
GAGACGACGCUGGCGGCGUAGCUUAAUACAUGCAAGUCAACUUGACUUUAGAUAGCAAUAUCGAAAAGUAGGGUGGCGCACGGGUGCGUAACGCGUAGGUAAUCUGCCCUGAGGUCUGACAUAACCCGUCGAAAGGCGGGCUAACAUCAGAUGAUAUAUAAUCACGACAUCGUGGAAAUAUCAAAUCUUCGGAGCCUUGGGAUGAGCCUGCGUCUGAUUAGGUAGUUGGCGGAGUAAUAGCCCACCAAGCCUACGAUCAGUAGCUGGUCUGAGAGGAUGAUCAGCCACACUGGAACUGAGACACGGUCCAGACUCCUACGGGAGGCAGCAGUAAGGAAUAUUGCUCAAUGGGGGAAACCCUGAAGCAGCAACGCCGCGUGAAGGAUGAAAUACUUUGUAUGUAAACUUCUGUAAGAUGGGAAAAAUAUUCUCCUCGGGAGAAUUGAUUGUACCAUCAGAGUAAGCCCCGGCUAACUACGUG